GGGUUGUGAGGUUAAGCGACUAAGCGUACACGGUGGAUGCCCUGGCAGUCAGAGGCGAUGAAGGACGUGCUAAUCUGCGAUAAGCGUCGGUAAGGUGAUAUGAACCGUUAUAACCGGCGAUUUCCGAAUGGGGAAACCCAGUGUGUUUCGACACACUAUCAUUAACUGAAUCCAUAGGUUAAUGAGGCGAACCGGGGGAACUGAAACAUCUAAGUACCCCGAGGAAAAGAAAUCAACCGAGAUUCCCCCAGUAGCGGCGAGCGAACGGGGAGCAGCCCAGAGCCUGAAUCAGUGUGUGUGUUAGUGGAAGCGUCUGGAAAGGCGCGCGAUACAGGGUGACAGCCCCGUACACAAAAAUGCACAUGCUGUGAGCUCGAUGAGUAGGGCGGGACACGUGGUAUCCUGUCUGAAUAUGGGGGGACCAUCCUCCAAGGCUAAAUACUCCUGACUGACCGAUAGUGAACCAGUACCGUGAGGGAAAGGCGAAAAGAACCCCGGCGAGGGGAGUGAAAAAGAACCUGAAACCGUGUACGUACAAGCAGUGGGAGCACGCUUAGGCGUGUGACUGCGUACCUUUUGUAUAAUGGGUCAGCGACUUAUAUUCUGUAGCAAGGUUAACCGAAUAGGGGAGCCGAAGGGAAACCGAGUCUUAACUGGGCGUUAAGUUGCAGGGUAUAGACCCGAAACCCGGUGAUCUAGCCAUGGGCAGGUUGAAGGUUGGGUAACACUAACUGGAGGACCGAACCGACUAAUGUUGAAAAAUUAGCGGAUGACUUGUGGCUGGGGGUGAAAGGCCAAUCAAACCGGGAGAUAGCUGGUUCUCCCCGAAAGCUAUUUAGGUAGCGCCUCGUGAAUUCAUCUCCGGGGGUAGAGCACUGUUUCGGCAAGGGGGUCAUCCCGACUUACCAACCCGAUGCAAACUGCGAAUACCGGAGAAUGUUAUCACGGGAGACACACGGCGGGUGCUAACGUCCGUCGUGAAGAGGGAAACAACCCAGACCGCCAGCUAAGGUCCCAAAGUCAUGGUUAAGUGGGAAACGAUGUGGGAAGGCCCAGACAGCCAGGAUGUUGGCUUAGAAGCAGCCAUCAUUUAAAGAAAGCGUAAUAGCUCACUGGUCGAGUCGGCCUGCGCGGAAGAUGUAACGGGGCUAAACCAUGCACCGAAGCUGCGGCAGCGACGCUGAUGCGUUGUUGGGUAGGGGAGCGUUCUGUAAGCCUGCGAAGGUGUGCUGUGAGGCAUGCUGGAGGUAUCAGAAGUGCGAAUGCUGACAUAAGUAACGAUAAAGCGGGUGAAAAGCCCGCUCGCCGGAAGACCAAGGGUUCCUGUCCAACGUUAAUCGGGGCAGGGUGAGUCGACCCCUAAGGCGAGGCCGAAAGGCGUAGUCGAUGGGAAACAGGUUAAUAUUCCUGUACUUGGUGUUACUGCGAAGGGGGGACGGAGAAGGCUAUGUUGGCCGGGCGACGGUUGUCCCGGUUUAAGCGUGUAGGCUGGUUUUCCAGGCAAAUCCGGAAAAUCAAGGCUGAGGCGUGAUGACGAGGCACUACGGUGCUGAAGCAACAAAUGCCCUGCUUCCAGGAAAAGCCUCUAAGCAUCAGGUAACAUCAAAUCGUACCCCAAACCGACACAGGUGGUCAGGUAGAGAAUACCAAGGCGCUUGAGAGAACUCGGGUGAAGGAACUAGGCAAAAUGGUGCCGUAACUUCGGGAGAAGGCACGCUGAUAUGUAGGUGAAGUCCCUUGCGGAUGGAGCUGAAAUCAGUCGAAGAUACCAGCUGGCUGCAACUGUUUAUUAAAAACACAGCACUGUGCAAACACGAAAGUGGACGUAUACGGUGUGACGCCUGCCCGGUGC
Molecule: ribosomal RNA, 1852 nt
Filed under: Escherichia coli
Lineage: Bacteria; Pseudomonadati; Pseudomonadota; Gammaproteobacteria; Enterobacterales; Enterobacteriaceae
Description: partial 23S ribosomal RNA
Rfam family: Bacterial large subunit ribosomal RNA
Source: RNAcentral